Molecule: ribosomal RNA, 468 nt
Filed under: uncultured bacterium
Lineage: Bacteria
Description: partial 16S ribosomal RNA
Rfam family: Bacterial small subunit ribosomal RNA
Source: RNAcentral
GACGAACGCUGGCGGCGUGCUUAACACAUGCAAGUCGAACGGAAAGGCCCUGCUUUUGUGGGGUGCUCGAGUGGCGAACGGGUGAGUAACACGUGAGUAACCUGCCCUUGACUUUGGGAUAACUUAAGGAAACUGGGGCUAAUACCGGAUAGGAGCUCCUGCUGCAGGGUGGGGGUUGGAAAGUUUCUGCCGUUGGGGAUGGACUCGCGGCUUAUCAGCUUGUUGGUGGGGUAGUGGCUUACCAAGUAUUUGACUGGUCGCCGGCCGGGGAGGGUGACCGGCCACCUUGGUACUGCGAUACGGCCCAGACUCCUACGGGAGGCAGCAGUGGGGAAUAUUGCACAAUCGGCGGAAGCCUGAUGCAGCAACGCCGCGUGCGGGAUGACGUCCUUCUGGUUGUAAACCGCUUUCGCCUGUGACGAAGCGUGAGUGACGGUAAUGGGUAAAGAAGCACCGGCUAACUACGUG